CAUCUUCUGUGUUACCUUUCUCCUGCCCAGGCAGCUUCUCACCUGGCAGCUCAGGUGCGGCAGGUGGACAACCCCCCCCGCAACCCCUGCAUGAGUCCAUCCUCCACCAGGGGGUGCUCUCAAAAAACGUAGCUCCCAGGCCCCAGACCCUGCGGUUGACCUGGACUUCUGCAUUGUCACCCAGCUCUUGGGAAAUUGUUGGUCUGAGCCCUUUAAAAAUAUCCUCUGCCCAAGUGACCUCAUUUGGUGUUUAUAUAUUUAGGAAAAGCCAUUUCUCUCUCCACCAUGACUCUGCUCUUUCUUGUUCUGCUUUUCCUCUUGUUUUUCACAAAGCCCCCUCUCAGCCUGGCCGGGUUCUCUGAAUAAAUGUUGUUUAUUCCAGUGUGUUGUUUUUAUCCGUUUUCCUGGCUGGGUGCCAGACUCUCAGAAAUCUGUUCCUGGCACCCCUGGUGGAUUUCAGCAAGCCCUGUGGUCACCAGGGCAACACUGCAGAAGAGAAAAAAACAUCCCUUAAAAAACAGCCUAGAUGCAGAAGACACCAGUUCCUGAUACUGUGAUUUUUACAAAUUGAAGGUUUUUAACAACCCUGCAAGUCUAUCAACACCAUUUUCCCACCAGCAUUUGUUCAUUUUGUAUCUCUAUGUCACAUUUUGGUAGUUCUCGCAAUAUUUUUCAUUUUUUCAUUAUUAUUGUAUUCGUUACGGUGAUCUGUGAUCAGUGACCUUUAAUAUGACUAUUGUAAUCGUU
Long non-coding RNA from Bubalus bubalis (water buffalo), 747 nucleotides. RefSeq lists it as uncharacterized. Lineage: Eukaryota; Metazoa; Chordata; Mammalia; Artiodactyla; Bovidae. The record is from RefSeq and is a predicted model, not a curated record. The transcript is spliced from 2 exons.